CGGAUUAAAGCCCGCUGGUUUGGGUACCUAGCUGUUAACUAGGUAUUUGUAGGAUCGAGGCCUGCUGAUCUAG
Molecule: transfer RNA, 73 nt
Filed under: Amphisbaena schmidti
Lineage: Eukaryota; Metazoa; Chordata; Lepidosauria; Squamata; Amphisbaenidae
Description: tRNA-Asn
Source: RNAcentral